This is a long non-coding RNA of Heterocephalus glaber (naked mole-rat), 812 nucleotides long. The record is from Ensembl. Lineage: Eukaryota; Metazoa; Chordata; Mammalia; Rodentia; Bathyergidae.
UUCAGGUCGGGCUUUUUUCAAUACCAUUGUGAACCACGUAUGGAUUAUCAGUACUACCUCAGGGAUGCAGAAGCCCUGCAUGACGUAAGACUCAUGAUGGAUGUGAAAUAAGACUGCUAGGUCUUCUAGAGCCCUGCCUGGCCUCCAUGUCCCCCAUCCCUGCCAUUCCUCUGAGAACCAAUGGUUUCAGUCACCUCCUGUUUUACCACAUUGGUAUGGACGGAUUUCCCCAUUGGGCUCAUGGGAUUGGCCAGGCGAGCUUGACGGUGGUUUAUUAGUUGCUUAUAUACUCAUAGUGGGGGAGAAGGGAUACCCACACAAGCAAAAUGGUGGCUGAUGUGGACACAGAAUGAGCAGUAGGGGCUAUGGGAAGCAGGCUCUGUAGUAUCUAAAAGGUAAGGAACCUGUGGUUUCCAUGGGAGGAGGUGACUGGCCUGUUUGAAUUCCACAGGCUGACAGGACCUGAAAGCCAGUUUUCUGGGCAUCUCCUCGUAUUUGCAGAAUCAGAUUCUGCCCUCGUAUUUAUCGAUCACGGUCACGGUUGCUGGGGAAGGGGAAGCAGGAGGGGUGAGGAAAACGUGCCCAGGGGACUGAGGAAAUGAGGAUGAAGCGCCCUCCCAGGACAUCUUACCUACCAGAGGCUGCCGAUUUCUGAUACCCGGCAAUUUGCACGCUCCCGGGAAGCAUGUGCUUGUGAAAUGUUUCGUGAACGAAGGAAAGAGGUGUAGCUGCCCAGAUUCCUGCUGCGGCCCCAGGGAACCUUGCGGUGUUUCCCAAUCCCGCCAGAAGUGGAGUAAAGUUGUGUUUGACAA